This is a small nuclear RNA of Crotalus tigris (Tiger rattlesnake), 102 nucleotides long. The record is from RefSeq and is a predicted model, not a curated record. NCBI's taxonomy places the organism in Eukaryota, Metazoa, Chordata, Lepidosauria, Squamata, Viperidae.
GUGCUUGCUUCGGCAGCACAUAUACUAAAAUUGGAACGAUACAGAGAAGAUUAGCAUGGAAAUCUAUGGAGGAAUUAAUGCAAGAAAAUAUUAUUUAUUCUU